CUUGCUAAGACUGAUGGCGACCGGCGCACGGGUGCGUAACGCGUAUGCAACUUGCCUCACAGAGGGGGAUAACCCGUCGAAAGACGGACUAAUACCGCGUACACUUGGGAUAGGGCAUCCUGACCCAAGGAAAUGAAAUUCGCUGUGAGAUAGGCAUGCGUCCCAUUAGCUAGUUGGUGAGGUAACGGCUCACCAAGGCGACGAUGGGUAGGGGAACUGAGAGGUUGAACCCCCACACUGGUACUGAGACACGGACCAGACUCCUACGGGAGGCAGCAGUGAGGAAUAUUGGUCAAUGGGCGAGAGCCUGAACCGGCCAAGUCGCGUGAAGGAUGACUGUCUUAUGGAUUGUAAACUUCUUUUAUACAGGAAUAACAAGAGUCACGUGUGGCUCCCUGCAUGUACCGUAUGAAUAAGCAUCGGCUAACUCCGUGCCAGCAGCCGCGGUAAUACGGAGGAUGCGAGCGUUAUCCGGAUUUAUUGGGUUUAAAGGGUGCGUAGGCGGCCUGUUAAGUCAGCGGUGAAAUCUAGGAGCUUAACUCCUAAAUUGCCAUUGAUACUGGCGGGCUUGAGUGUAGAUGAGGUAGGCGGAAUGCGUGGUGUAGCGGUGGAAUGCAUAGAUAUCACGCAGAACUCCGAUUGCGAAGGCAGCUUACUAAGGUACAACUGACGCUGAAGCACGAAAGCGUGGGUAUCAAACAGGAUUAGAUACCCUGGUAGUCCACGCAGUAAACGAUGAUAACUGGG
This 747-nucleotide ribosomal RNA is filed under the name uncultured Porphyromonadaceae bacterium. RNAcentral describes it as "bacterial SSU rRNA". It matches the Rfam family "Bacterial small subunit ribosomal RNA", at positions 76 to 820 of the family's 1533-position model. The record is from RNAcentral. Lineage: Bacteria; Pseudomonadati; Bacteroidota; Bacteroidia; Bacteroidales; Porphyromonadaceae.